GUGCCAGCCGCCGCGGUAAUACCGCCAGCCUGAGUGAUGGCCGAUCUUAUUGGGCCCAAAGCGUCCGUAGCUGGCCGCGCAAGUCCAUCGGGAAAUCCACCUGCUCAACAGGUGGGCGCCCGGUGGAAACUGUGCGGCUUGGGACCGGAAGGCGCGACGGGUACGUCCGGGGUAGGAGUGAAAUCCCGUAAUCCUGGACGGACCGCCGAUGGCGAAAGCACGUCGCGAGAACGGAUCCGACAGUGAGGGACGAAAGCCAGGGUCUCGAACCGGAUUAGAAACCCUAGUAGUCC
RNAcentral lists this ribosomal RNA (293 nucleotides) under uncultured bacterium. Its description in RNAcentral is "partial 16S ribosomal RNA". It matches the Rfam family "Archaeal small subunit ribosomal RNA", at positions 455 to 747 of the family's 1478-position model. The record is from RNAcentral.